UGCCAGCAGCCGCGGUAAGACAGAGGGUGCUAACGUUGUUCGGAAUUACUGGGCGUAAAGCGCGUGUAGGCUGUUGCGCAAGUCGGGCGUGAAAGCCCUGGGCUCAACCCAGGAAGUGCACCCGAAACUGCGUAACUUGAGUCUCGGAGAGGGAGGCGGAAUUCCCGGUGUAGAGGUGAAAUUCGUAGAUAUCGGGAGGAACACCAGUGGCGAAGGCGGCCACCUGGACGAUGACUGACGCUCAGACCCGAAAGCGUGGGGAGCAAACAGGAUUAGAUA
This 279-nucleotide ribosomal RNA is filed under the name uncultured bacterium. RNAcentral describes it as "partial 16S ribosomal RNA". It matches the Rfam family "Bacterial small subunit ribosomal RNA", at positions 506 to 784 of the family's 1533-position model. The record is from RNAcentral.